UACGAAGGGGGCUAGCGUUGCUCGGAAUCACUGGGCGUAAAGCGCACGUAGGCGGAUCUUUAAGUCAGGGGUGAAAUCCCAAGGCUCAACCUUGGAACUGCCUUUGAUACUGGGGAUCUCGAGUCCGGAAGAGGUGAGUGGAACUGCGAGUGUAGAGGUGAAAAUUCGUAGAUAUUCGCAAGAACACCAGUGGCGAAGGCGGACUCACUGGUCCGGUUACGUGACGCUGAGGUGCGAAAAGCGUGGGGAGCAAACAGGG
RNAcentral lists this ribosomal RNA (259 nucleotides) under uncultured bacterium. Its description in RNAcentral is "partial 16S ribosomal RNA". It matches the Rfam family "Bacterial small subunit ribosomal RNA", at positions 524 to 777 of the family's 1533-position model. The record is from RNAcentral.